UACGUAGGGUGCGAGCGUUGUCCGGAAUUAUUGGGCGUAAAGGGCUCGUAGGCGGUCUGUUACGUCGGGAGUGAAAACUCAGGGCUCAACCCUGAGCCUGCUUCCGAUACGGGCAGACUAGAGGUAUGCAGGGGAGAAUGGAAUUCCUGGUGUAGCGGUGAAAUGCGUUGAUAUCAUCAGGAACACCGGAGGCGAAGGCGGCUCACUGGGGCUUUUCUGACGCUGAGGAACGAAAGCCAGGGUAGCGAACGGG
This 253-nucleotide ribosomal RNA is filed under the name uncultured bacterium. Its description in RNAcentral is "partial 16S ribosomal RNA". It matches the Rfam family "Bacterial small subunit ribosomal RNA", at positions 524 to 776 of the family's 1533-position model. The record is from RNAcentral.